Girardinichthys multiradiatus is the source of this 1492-nucleotide long non-coding RNA. RefSeq lists it as uncharacterized. NCBI's taxonomy places the organism in Eukaryota, Metazoa, Chordata, Actinopteri, Cyprinodontiformes, Goodeidae. The record is from RefSeq and is a predicted model, not a curated record. The transcript is spliced from 2 exons.
ACAAAGUGUUUGCAUAAUGGUGCAUGAGUAAGUAGUAUUAUUGGGUCAUUGCAGGAACAUUUGAGCUGCAGUUGCACCACUGCUCAGUUAUGCAGCAGUGGUGCACAUGUGCAGCAUACAUGGGAUGCAAGAACUGUGGGUUUCAUUCCUGCAUAAUUUUUCAACAUGUCCAUAAAUUCAGGGGCAACCUGACUUUUCUGAUGAUCAAAUUAUCUACGCCACUGUAUUGUAUUAACUGGAGAGCUCCUUCAGUGACAGACUGCUGCAUCAUAGGUGCACAUAGGAGCAUUAUCACAGAUCCUUCCUCCCAAAUACAUGCACAAUUUGUACAUUUUUUUAAAAUCACCUACACAGUUGCACAUUUCUUUUAUUCUGAGUACACUAUUUUCAUUAACUGUGCAAUAUUCUUUCUAAAUUUAUUACUGUACAGUCUCUUACUCUUACUUUUUUGUUUUUAGAUAAGUUUUACUUUUGUGUGAAUCUGCAUGCAUUUUACUUUGCUGCAGGUACACUGAAUUUCCUCACUGUUGGACAAUAAAGGAUAUUCCUAAAAUAUUUCUAUAGAAUUCUAUUCUAAUAUUGAUGUUAACUGAGAAUUAGCAUAUUAAUCUGCCAAGUUGUUGUGUCUAAGUUUUCAUCAUAUAAUUUUCAGUCCAGGGUCAAUCCAUUGCCUAACAGAUCGACCCGUCCACUAGAAUUUGUAAUAACCUAAGAAGCUUUGAAAUCAAAAUCAAAUGAUUAACUACGUUACAACGUAGUCACUUCCAGUUGUUUGCCCAUAUAUCUGCCUAAAGCACUGAUUUAAAAUAAAUAAAGGCGUCAGAGUCUGUGUGUGUGUGUGUGUGUGUGUGUGUGUGUUUGGUGCUCUUGUCUUCAUAACCAUUUAGUUGGUGCUGGAGUUCUCCGGUGCGCUGGAUGACAGGUGUCUCCUAUCUGCUGAUUGCUUGGAGGAGUACUUAAGCGGGAGGCUGCCAGCACUUCGAUGCCAGAGUGUUUGCCUUAGUGGUAACAAGCUCAGCCUUUACUGAUUUUUUUUGGCUUUGUUCAUGAACUUCAAGUAACUUUAUAUUUUGUUUCCAUGCAGGUUUUUACCUGAGGCUUUGUUUACCUUGCUGAGUUCUGACUUCGUUCCUGAGUUUCUCUGAGCAUCUGGAUUCUCAACUACUGAGUUAAGGAUCUAUCUUAUUGUGGAUUUUUUCCUCUCUACCAUCUGUACCUCUCAGACACGGACCAAGCUGGCGGCUUCCCGUUUUCCCCAACUCCUGGACCCAGGCAUCAGCAUACCCUGCUCCUUCCUCCAUCUCAAACAUCGGCACCUGAGCUCCCUUUGGCUGGCAUCAAGAUCACAACGAAGAAGAUAACUGAACGAUCUUCCUUCGCAAGUUAAGACUCUGAAUCUCUCUCUCCCUGGUGGUUCAAGCUACAACAAUUUAUUGGUGUUUCCAGUUCUCCCCAGAUUACUUUGCUGUCAGUAAAAUCCCUAAAAACCUUC